AGAGACAGAUUCAAAGUGACUUUGACCAAUCCUUUCAUUGAAUUCAGCUGGGACUUGAAACCUGUUCUCGUGAUGUCAAGCCCGGGAUUCUUCUUGGAAACGUUGAGCUUUUUUGUGACACCUGUACCGCUUCCUGUGAUGAGGGAAAGAAUGUUCCAAGGACAAAAGCAACUCAGCACUGGAUGACACGACCACCUUUUGGGGCAUGGAGGUCAGCGUAGAGGUGAUCACCCUGGGACAACAACCCCUCCCUUGCCAAAUGGUAGAUUGAUGAAAUGUCUGAAAAGCAUCUCUGAUCGUGAGGAUCCAGAGACUAAUCAUGAGGGCCCAGUGACGUCAGAGCUGGAGAGGAGGGCUGUGUCAGGCUCAACCCUGCAGCCUCUGGCCAGAGGUAGUCUGGGAAUAGAUUCUGAAUCCAAGGAACUGAGAACACACAAGGAGAGUUUGCAAUCUACCAAAGAAUAAAAGGCACCAUAUUUGUGAAACGUCAACUUAGGAUAGCUGCCAGGCUGGGCAACCUCACAAAGUGAAAAGACAUUCAUCCUAG
This 547-nucleotide long non-coding RNA is filed under the name Phascolarctos cinereus (koala). Its description in RNAcentral is "lncRNA (ENSPCIG00000023465.2)". The record is from RNAcentral. Lineage: Eukaryota; Metazoa; Chordata; Mammalia; Diprotodontia; Phascolarctidae.